CGUGAAAGUAUAACUCUGAAACGAGUAGUCACAGAGUAAAAUAUUUGUAAAUAAAGGCACGUGGCGUAACAUGUCAACAAUGAUUUCGAAUUGACAAUUAUUUUUAAAUAGUUACAUUUAAAGCAAACUAUAGCCUGUUUCGUUUUUCGCGCGUGUAAUUUCGCUGCAUUAGACGGCAUUUGCCUACAUUAGUGGGACUUGGGUGGAAGAUAUGUGUGUCAUUAUCCGGACAUGUGACAACACCAUGAUUCGUGUUUAUUUAAUUAUUGAGAGCAGACGAUAAUCCCACUUGUUAAUUACGCUGUACACGAUUAGUUAUUGUAUUGUGUAUUGUUUCGUUCAUAGCCAUACAAUGACUGACAUUAAUAUCUUAAGAACUGUUAAUGACACUAUUAUCAAUGUGAAGUUGCAACUUCCAAAAGAACCACCUGAUUAUCUUGGAAUCGAAUUUCUGGAGAAUGAAAUGGAAUUGAUGAACCAGAAGAUCCAAAACGCUUGUGAAAUGCCAUUAGCGGCGAGUCCUAUCUAUAUGUCAAGAGUAAUAGAUGCCAGAGUAUUGUCAACGGGUGAAGAUGUUAAACAAAUCAUUGAGAUGUCACUUGACAUAAAAGAAGAAAAUAUGUCUUGGCAUCCAGGGGAUACAAUAGGAGUAAUUCCACAAAAUCCAGUGGAGGAAGUAGAGGAGCUGUUGGAAUUGUUGGGUGUUAGAGACAAAGCAAAUAUCCCAGCAAAAAUAUUUGUUAGAACUGACUCUCUGGAAAAGAAUUUUGUUGUACCACCAUAUUUACCAUCAGUUUCAACACUGAAACACAUUUUCUGUACAUGUUUAGAUAUACGAAGCCUACCCAAAAAGGUCCUGCUCAGAGUGUUGGCGGGGCACGCCUCCCUGCCGGAGGAACACCUCCGGCUGGAGCAGCUGUGCAGCCGGCAGGGCACGCGCGACUACGACGCCUGCAUUGUGGGGACGGGGGCCACCCUGCUGACACUACUUCGUGCGUUUCCGUCGUGUCGGCCCCCGGUCACCCGUGUCCUCCAGCUCCUGCCGCGCCUCACUCCGAGGCCGUACUCGCUCGCCUGCUCGGAGGCUCCCCCGCGUGUGGUGUUCAGCGUCAUUCCUCACGGCCUGUGCACCAACUGGCUGAGAAGUCGACUAGAAAUAUUUUGCGACCUGAGUAAAAGGCUCUCGGCUGUGGAACUCAAAGACAGUGUGGAACGGGAUGUUCGGAUUCCAGUGUAUUUUAGGAAGGCGAGCAAUUUUCGCAUGCCUCAUUGUCAUGAGAAACCACUGAUACUUAUUGGUCCUGGAACUGGAAUUGCUCCAUUUAUUGGGUUUCUCCAACAAAGAGAAACGGAACAGUUAAAGUUUCAAAAUAAGAAACUCGGCACAAUCUGGCUAUUUUUUGGUUGUCGCUAUUCUUCACGAGAUUUUAUUUAUAGGUCAGUACUUCAGCAGUUUGUGGAGAAACAGAUCCUGUCACGCUUAUUUGUUUCGUUUUCCCGUGAAAGUGAUGAAACUAGUCCAAAAUAUGUUCAGGAUAAUGUGAGACUUUAUGGGAAAGAUUUUGUGACAAAACUAAUCGAUGAAGGUGGUUCCGUAUUCAUCUGUGGCGAUGCAAAAAAUAUGGCUAAAGAUGUUCAGGAAGCAAUUUCAUAUGUUAUACAGAAAGAAAAAGUUUUAUUGUAGGAAUAUCUGAAGAAGCAGCUCAAAACUGUAUAAAACAACUGAAAAAUUCCGCAAGAUAUGUGCAAGAUGUAUGGAGAUAAAUUGAAUACUAAGUUAAACAUUCAAUCACAGACGAUACUGCAGUUCUCUCUCCGGAUGACCAGAGGUCCCUGCUGAGUAAGAGAUCUGUGCCUUAAUCACUUGUCUUGGCCACUGAGGCAACUCUAUUUAUGAGAUAAACACAUAAAAUAAAAUUAAAUAUACAAAGCAGUUGUAAAUGUAAUCCUUCGUCUAUUUCUUGUUUCCAACAUACAUAAAUAUUUUGCUGUUAGGAAAGUUCUGGCACAAUGUAAAUAAUUUAGACAUAAAGGAGAUGGCUGGCCGAAUUGUGGAAGUGUUGAGUCAUAGACUGGCACAUAAAAAGGAAUGAAAAGUAUAGAUCGCUGCUCACAGGCGCAUGCACACGCCCAUGCUGGAACUGCAAUUGGGGUGGAGGCAGGCAGCAGGGGGAUGGGCACAGGAUGCAACACACAAUUGUGAAGGUGACGACAAUGUAGAGUGCGUGCUGGACCGGAAGAGAGGAGCUGAUGGGUAGGGGUGUGGGUAUAGAUCUUAACCCAGGGCCACCCAUGAAAGGAGCCAUGCCAUGUCAUGUGGAAAUCCCUGCACAGCAUUUUAUGCGGGCACAAUCACCAAUUCCUUUUCCACCAGAAAGUAUGGUAACUGCAAAACUAGGCCAAAGGCAGUGUUGUUGGAACAUGCUGCUACGUGCAACAUGCUCAGGGUCAGUGGCCGCUUUCCUUCACUAUGCAUAUUUGAGUUGGCCUUGCACUGCAUAUUUAUGUGUGUGUGUACACUUUUACUAUUUAGUAAGUUGUCUCCUUUACUCCUAAGUUAUAUAAAUAUAUGUUGUGAAAAUUACAGCCAUUGACUGAAUAUCCAAUUUUCCAUUAAACACACAUCUCAUUUCCAUGUCACUUGGAUAGUCAUAUGAGGAAAAAAAAAUUGUAACAUCUUCAUAAGCCAGGAGAUGCUAAAUAUCCGUAAAUUGGAAUAAAAAUACA
This is an RNA transcript of Schistocerca piceifrons (Central American locust), 2727 nucleotides long. It is a transcript of the gene named methionine synthase reductase-like, with no coding region annotated. The transcript is spliced from 10 exons. Lineage: Eukaryota; Metazoa; Arthropoda; Insecta; Orthoptera; Acrididae. The record is from RefSeq and is a predicted model, not a curated record.